CUCUGUUGGCCACUAUGGUACUGCCCAGGACAAAGGGCCCAUUAAGGAGGCACAAUCAGCUUCAUGAAUGCAACUGCAGAAGUCUGAUGCAAGACUCCAAAAGGGCAAGAGGAGGACUGUGGCUGACUCACCAUGACUCCUUUGAGCAGGACCAAAGAGAACGCAUGCUGCACUCUGUCAAAACCUGGGGAGGCUCCUGCUACUGUGAGUGCUCCAUCACAGAAUUCUGACGGAGUACAAAUGGAGUUUUUUCUGCCCCUUCAGGGCUAUACUUUGAUGUAUGAUGAAUUGGAGACACACUGGAGAUGAAUGGACAGAAGAGAAAAAAAAAAGACGACUACCCUGAAGGAUACAUUAAUCACACCAUUGUUGAGCUACAUAUUUUGCUGAUUAGCCCAUUUUCUAAAUGAGCAACGUGACUUCGUCUUUCUGAAAUAGCGGCUUUUAGGGAUCUGGACCUGGUGGAAAAUUUAUUGUUCCAACAUUGAGCUACACUAGCAAUGUUACUGGACACAAGUCUUAGCAACAAAUAGUAAAUUAUGGAGAACAUUGCCAUUGUUGGCCUGCAAGCUGAGCAAAGAGUGAAAACAAAAGAGUGAUGAAAUUGUAUAU
Molecule: long non-coding RNA, 612 nt
Organism: Mauremys mutica (yellowpond turtle)
Lineage: Eukaryota; Metazoa; Chordata; Testudines; Geoemydidae
Exons: 3
Source: RefSeq, a predicted model, not a curated record